GCGAUAAAUGAAGCGUUAUCCUCACGCCUUCGUGUUGCAUCAUCCCAUGCGUCCGACCGCCUGGCCUUUACCAAUUUCCCACAUUCCCUGCGGUGCGGACACAUCACGGAGAGGCGACGGAGACGAUUACAAGGAUAGACACAGAGAGAUGAGGAGAUGAAGUGUUGUCGCCGCUCCUCCUCUUCCUUCUCCAAACCCUGCACCGCCACCACCUUCUUCGUCUCCUACUCCUCCUUCCUCCUCGCCCUCUCCUCCCUCCUCCGCCCCUCCACCGCCCUCGUCAACCUCCGUGCCAAGUCCUUCUCCUUUACCUUCCUCGACGCCCCAGCCCGCUUCGCUGUUCCUGUUCGUGGCUCUGGGGUCUGUGGAGCUCUGCACACUGCCGAUCCUAUCGAUGCUUGCUCUACCCUCCCGAGCAAUCGGACCGCUGUAGGCCGAGGCGGAGGUUCGGCGCAUUCCGAUUUUAUUCUUAUCGUGAGAGGUGUUUGCAGCUUCGAGAAUAAGGUCAGGAUCGCUCAGGAUGCUGGAUACCAGGCUGCAAUCAUCUACGACGACCAGGAGAAGGGCAGCUUGUACUCGAUGAUCGGGGACUCCACGGGCAUUUAUAUACAUGCAGUAUUUGUUUCAAAGAUGGCAGGUGAGACACUAAAGAAAUUUGCUCGAGGUGAAGAAGGAGAAUGUUGUAUAGGUUCUUCUAUGGAUGAGACUGCUGGAACAGUGUUGGUGAUUUCUUUUGUCUCACUUGUUGUCAUAGUAUCAGUUCUUGCAGCAUUUCUCUUUGCUCGAAAUUGUCGGCUUCUAAGGCAUGGAGCCCAUAAGCGGCCUCCUAGUAUGAACAGACAGGCAGUGGAACUACUUCCUUCUUUCACAUUCAAAAGUUCCUAUGUCAAUAGCAAGCGCAUGGCAGAAACUUGUGCCAUUUGUCUUGAGGAUUACAGAGAUGGAGAGAGACUGAGGGUUCUUCCCUGUCUUCAUGGGGCUUGUGUGCACUUGAAAACCAGAUGCUUCUUUGGACAAGAAUCUUGGCAUUUAUAACCGCAACAUGACAACUUUAGAAUGUUUGAUUCUUGGGCUGUCACCAGAGCUUAUACUUUUAGAUUCUACUGUCACUUGAAGUCAAAUGUGAUGUUCCCUGCAUGGUGAAUUGUAAAAUAGCGUGUGUUCUUCAAACCUUGGAACGGUUAAUAUCUUUUAAUUCCUGAGUAUUAACUAGUUAAAACCUGUGUUCCUGAUGAUAAGGACCUGGCAAAAUUACUUUCUGCAUUUGAAUUUGGUUACAUGAAGCCAGACGCAGAUUUCCAUGCAGUUUGUGUGGACUCAUGGCUGACGAAAUGGGGAACGUUCUGCCCAAUUUGCAAGCAUGAAAUGAGCUCGGGAGAAUAGGCUACUUGAUUUUAAGCAAAUCAACUUGCAUUGGGCUGAGUGAUGGAAUAAGUUUGGCAACUAUUUACGAGUUAUCCAUCUUCUACUCGUGUUGCAUCUGUAAGUGGAAUAAGAUUGGCAGCUUACGCUUCCGCUUCGAAUGUCUUCAUGGAAUUUCGUGCCUUCUGUAAGAUCCGAGGGGUGUGCAUAUGAAUCUAGAGCAUGCACUUCUCUAUGGACAAUGCAAUGCAGGCAAAAGCUGGGAGCAAUCAACUGUCCUUUCCAACCAUCUGUUUCAUGCUUCUUGUCAUGUUUGCCUCGUCAUGCUCUCAUUUGUUAAUCCUUCUACCCAUUUGUGCAUCUUCUGUAUUCUCGUGUACCCUUCUGAGAGUACUCGGUGUUUAGCUGUGUUCUGACGCGGAUGUGUCUCACUCGCGUGUUUGGUUUUUGAUGAGCAUGAGGGGGUGUUGAGCUGAUACGGAGCUGCUCGGGAACUGGCACUGAAUUGAUCUCUGCUUUUAGCAUGUAACCUAUUUUUAUGAUGUCAGCAUACAGUGACUGUAUAAAAUGACUGUUUGUUGUAAUCUUCUU
Non-coding RNA from Phoenix dactylifera (date palm), 1953 nucleotides. Lineage: Eukaryota; Viridiplantae; Streptophyta; Magnoliopsida; Arecales; Arecaceae. The record is from RefSeq and is a predicted model, not a curated record.